GGGGGCACGCUGGUGGUUCGGAUCGGUGACACGGUGUCGCUCCUAGAUCGGUUGCACCGGCAGGUCGGCAUAUCCGGGCUCUCGUCACAUGAGGAGACCGGGAACGGGUGGACGUACUCGCGUGACAAGGAAGUUGCGUCGUGGGCGCGUGGCCAUGCGGUUCCGUGGCACGAGUUUCCUCAGUCCGGGGUGGAGCGUCCACGCAGAACGCGUGAUGGUUGGGCAUCGCGUUGGGAUCGGAAGAUGCGCACACCGAUUAUUCCAGCGCCCGUGGCGGUCCGGUCCCUGCCGGGCCUUGACCCGGGUUCGAUACCGGGUGUCUCCG
RNAcentral lists this non-coding RNA (325 nucleotides) under Chloroflexota bacterium. The record is from RNAcentral. Lineage: Bacteria; Bacillati; Chloroflexota.